AUAAUGCAGUCGAACGAACUCUGGUAUUGAUUGGUGCUUGCAUCAUGAUUUACAUUUGAGUGAGUGGCGAACUGGUGAGUAACACGUGGGAAACCUGCCCAGAAGCGGGGGAUAACACCUGGAAACAGAUGCUAAUACCGCAUAACAACUUGGACCGCAUGGUCCGAGUUUGAAAGAUGGCUUCGGCUAUCACUUUUGGAUGGUCCCGCGGCGUAUUAGCUAGAUGGUGGGGUAACGGCUCACCAUGGCAAUGAUACGUAGCCGACCUGAGAGGGUAAUCGGCCACAUUGGGACUGAGACACGGCCCAAACUCCUACGGGAGGCAGCAGUAGGGAAUCUUCCACAAUGGACGAAAGUCUGAUGGAGCAACGCCGCGUGAGUGAAGAAGGGUUUCGGCUCGUAAAACUCUGUUGUUAAAGAAGAACAUAUCUGAGAGUAACUGUUCAGGUAUUGACGGUAUUUAACCAGAAAGCCACGGCUAACUACGUGCCAGCAGCCGCGGUAAUACGUAGGUGGCAAGCGUUGUCCGGAUUUAUUGGGCGUAAAGCGAGCGCAGGCGGUUUUUUAAGUCUGAUGUGAAAGCCUUCGGCUCAACCGAAGAAGUGCAUCGGAAACUGGGAAACUUGAGUGCAGAAGAGGACAGUGGAACUCCAUGUGUAGCGGUGAAAUGCGUAGAUAUAUGGAAGAACACCAGUGGCGAAGGCGGCUGUCUGGUCUGUAACUGACGCUGAGGCUCGAAAGUAUGGGUAGCAAACAGGAUUAGAUACCCUGGUAGUCCAUACCGUAAACGAUGAAUGCUAAGUGUUGGAGGGUUUCCGCCCUUCAGUGCUGCAGCUAACGCAUUAAGCAUUCCGCCUGGGGAGUACGGCCGCAAGGCUGAAACUCAAAGGAAUUGACGGGGGCCCGCACAAGCGGUGGAGCAUGUGGUUUAUUUCGAAGCUACGCGAAGAAGCUUACCAGGUCUUGACAUACUAUGCAAAUCUAAGAGAUUAGACGUUCCCUUCGGGGACAUGAAUACAGGUGGUGCAUG
This 1030-nucleotide ribosomal RNA is filed under the name Lactiplantibacillus pentosus. RNAcentral's name for it is "bacterial SSU rRNA". It matches the Rfam family "Bacterial small subunit ribosomal RNA", at positions 51 to 1047 of the family's 1533-position model. Lineage: Bacteria; Bacillati; Bacillota; Bacilli; Lactobacillales; Lactobacillaceae. The record is from RNAcentral.